UUUUUGGUACAUUUCAUUGGGAGGGAGAAAUUCAUUCUCCGAGCAAUGCAAUGGAGAAGAAGAUUGGCCCUUGCAUAUGUGGAAACAAAAGAUGGUUAUGCACCAGCAAUAAGGAAGGCUAGUUCUACAGAAAGAAAAGCAAAAAAGAAUCUUUGAGAGAAAAAUCUCUCUAUGGCCAAAAUGAUGUGGUAGAUGAGGAUUCCCGAUUAGUUGCUCUUUCCUCUUUCUUUCUUUUUCUCAAAUAUUCUUCUUUGUACCCCUUCCGCCCUAUGUUUAUGGAGCUUUCAAUGCCUUUCAUCAAUGACCUUCGUAAUAAAACCAACUCCCUCUUAAGAUAUUACCUUAAAAAUUAAAUGAAGACUGCCCAGCUGUUGAAACCCUUUCCAUUCCCAUCCUAGUUAGCAAAAUUAUCUUCACAAAAUUUUCCAUGUAAACUGUUCAAAACAUCCUAAAGCAGAUCUAGAACCUAGCUUUUGACUUUCAUAUCAAAACCUAUCCAGAGUACAAAAACACCUUUCUUUUCACUUUUUCGCAUGAAAGGGAUAGGAAAAAAGUCUUGCAAGGUAUCCCUUAGGCUAUCAAUAAUCAUUUAUUGAUCCUUAAACAAUGGCCUACUCAUCUGAAGCUAGAGGAUAUUGAUUUCUCUUCUUGCCCAAUGGCCUACUCAUCUGAAGCUAGAGGAUAUUGAUUUCUCUUCUUGCCCCCUUUUGGGUUCAGG
This 718-nucleotide long non-coding RNA is filed under the name Manihot esculenta (cassava). RNAcentral's name for it is "long non-coding RNA (MESC_LNC001756)". The record is from RNAcentral. Lineage: Eukaryota; Viridiplantae; Streptophyta; Magnoliopsida; Malpighiales; Euphorbiaceae.